AACGAACGCUGGCGGCAUGCCUAACACAUGCAAGUCGAACGAGACCUUCGGGUCUAGUGGCGCACGGGUGCGUAACGCGUGGGAACCUGCCCUUAGGUUCGGAAUAACUCCCCGAAAGGGGUGCUAAUACCGGAUAAUGUCUUCGGACCAAAGAUUUAUCGCCUUUGGAUGGGCCCGCGUUGGAUUAGCUAGUUGGUAGGGUAAAAGCCUACCAAGGCGACGAUCCAUAGCUGGUCUGAGAGGAUGAUCAGCCACACUGGGACUGAGACACGGCCCAGACUCCUACGGAAGGCAGCAGUGGGGAAUAUUGGACAAUGGGCGAAAGCCUGAUCCAGCAAUGCCGCGUGAGUGAUGAAGGCCUUAGGAUUGUAAAGCUCUUUUACCCGGGAUGAUAAUGACAGUACCGGGAGAAUAAGCUCCGGCUAACUCCGUG
RNAcentral lists this ribosomal RNA (433 nucleotides) under uncultured bacterium. RNAcentral's name for it is "partial 16S ribosomal RNA". It matches the Rfam family "Bacterial small subunit ribosomal RNA", at positions 29 to 507 of the family's 1533-position model. The record is from RNAcentral.